Molecule: long non-coding RNA, 1401 nt
Filed under: Phasianus colchicus (ring-necked pheasant)
Lineage: Eukaryota; Metazoa; Chordata; Aves; Galliformes; Phasianidae
Description: lncRNA (ENSPCLG00000014192.1)
Source: RNAcentral
GGGUCCUCCAGGGCCACAAGCGAGUCAUCCUGCCCCACGAAGGGGUCCUCCAGCACCAUGAGUGAGUCCUCCUGCCCCACAAGCGGGUCCUCCAGCCCCGUAAGUGGGUCCUCCAGGGCCACAAGGGGGUCCUCCUGCCCCACCAGUGAGUCCUCCUGCGGCACAAGGGGGUCCUCCAGGGCCACAGCCCGGUCCUCCUGCCCCACAAGCGGGUCCUCCUGCCCCACGAGGGGGUCCUCCUGCCCCACGAGGGGGUCCUCCUGCCCCACGAGGGGGUCCUCCUGCCCCACAUCCCAGUCCUCCAGCUCCAUAAUUCAGCCCUCAGCCCCACAAGUGAGUCCUCCAGCCCCACAGCCCAGUCCCUCAGAGGGGAAAGGAAUUGCCAAGCUGAAAAGAAGAAGGAAGGAAUUGCCAAGGGGAAAAAGGAAGAGGAGAGCAAGGGAAAAGGGGGACUGCCAGGGGAAAAGGGGAAACUGCCAGGGGGGAAACAGGGGAAACUGCCAGGGGGGAAACAGNNNNNNNNNNNNNNNNNNNNNNNNGGGAAACUGCCAAGGGGAAAAGAGGAAGGAGGAGACCGGGAAAUCGGAAAAGAGGGGAGCGGGAAACAGGGAAUUGAGAGUGGGAAAAGGGAAGGAGGAGAGCGGGGAAAAAGGAAUUGAGCGGGGGAAAAAGGGCACGAGGAGAGCCAGCAAUGAACUGGAAUAGAAGAAAGGAGAUGGAAGGACGGGGGAGAGGAAAAGGGAAUUGGGACGGGAGGAAAAAAGGACGGGGGAGGAAAGAGGGAACUGGGAUGGGGGAAACGGGGGCUGGGAUGGGAGGGAGAGGGGACGAAGGGGAAAGAGAGAAAGGAAUGGGGGACGAGGGGGGAAAGGAAGAGAAUGGGAAGCAGCAAAUGGAAGAAAGCCCUGAGCCCCACAAGUGAGUCCUCCAGCCCCACAAGUGAGUCCUCCAGCCCCACAAGUGAGUCCUCCAGCCCCACAAGUGAGUCCUCCAGCGCCACACUGAGCUCCUCCAGCCGCACAUCCAAGUCCUCCAGCCCCACAUCCAAGGUCCUCCAAGGCUGCUCCCGAGUCCUCCAGCCCAACGAGCGAGUGCUUAAGAUGCAGAAGUGAGUCCUCCAGCCCCACAUGCCAGUCCUCCUGCCCCACAGCCCGGUCCUCCCGCCCCACAGCCCGGUCCUCCCGCCCCACAGCCCGGUCCUCCAGCUCCAUAAUUGACUCCUCCAGCCCCACAUCUCAGGUCCUUGAGGGCCGCCCCCAAGUCCUCCAGCCCCACAUCCCAGUCCUCCAGCUCCAUAAGGGAGUCCUCCAGCCCCACAGCCCGGUCCUCCAGCCCCACAGCCCGGUCCUCCAGCCCUUAAUUGAGAACUCCAGCCCCACAGCCCAGUCCUCCAGCUCCAUA